This 433-nucleotide ribosomal RNA is filed under the name beta proteobacterium SCGC AAA023-P15. Its description in RNAcentral is "bacterial SSU rRNA". It matches the Rfam family "Bacterial small subunit ribosomal RNA", at positions 355 to 780 of the family's 1533-position model. Lineage: Bacteria; Pseudomonadati; Pseudomonadota; Betaproteobacteria. The record is from RNAcentral.
UGGGGAAUUUUGGACAAUGGGGGAAACCCUGAUCCAGCAAUGCCGCGUGUGUGAAGAAGGCCUUCGGGUUGUAAAGCACUUUUAUUCGGAGAGAAAUCCCUUGGGCUAAUACCCUGAGGGUCUGACGGUACCGGAUGAAUAAGCGCCGGCUAACUACGUGCCAGCAGCCGCGGUAAUACGUAGGGCGCGAGCGUUAAUCGGAAUUACUGGGCGUAAAGCGUGCGCAGGCGGUUUUGUAAGACAGAUGUGAAAGCCCCGGGCUUAACCUGGGAAUUGCAUUUGUGACUGCAAGGCUAGAGUGUGUCAGAGGGAGGUGGAAUUCCGCGUGUAGCAGUGAAAUGCGUAGAGAUGCGGAGGAACACCGAUGGCGAAGGCAGCCUCCUGGGAUAACACUGACGCUCAUGCACGAAAGCGUGGGGAGCAAACAGGAUUA